This is a long non-coding RNA of Lagopus muta (rock ptarmigan), 1714 nucleotides long. RefSeq lists it as uncharacterized. The record is from RefSeq and is a predicted model, not a curated record. The transcript has 5 exons. Lineage: Eukaryota; Metazoa; Chordata; Aves; Galliformes; Phasianidae.
AUCUCUGUCUACUUGAGGACUUUACAGGCUUUCUGAAGAUGGUGCCAGAGGGGAGUCUGCAAGAUGGUGUCUGGUGUGGAAGUGCAUAUGAAGCAAAGGAGUAGAAAUGUGUUCCUUCGUGAGAUCCUUGUGCUGACUGGACAGUAUGAGAAACUGAAAAACUGAAACAUCCUUGACUUUGUACAGCAUUGCUCAGCAACAACUGAAACACUGUGCUAUCAACAUUGAUGUUCUUCUGAAGUCUAAACAUGGCAUAUCAGCCACUGUGAAGAAAAUCAGCUUUGUCUGGGCUAAAACCAGGACAGUAGUCUAAUAGUCCAAGUCACUAGUGUUUAAGAGAACUAGUGGAACUCUGGGAGACACAGUAGGUACUGCAGCUGACUGAUUUCAUUUGGGAAUUCUAAAACAGGUGGAGUACUAUAAGGGAAGACGAAAGGAAUCCUUCUCUCAGGAGCUGCAUGCAGAAGCUAGAAGAGGGAGCCAGCAGAGAGGCAGUCAUACUCUGUAAGGUUCUCCAGUGGGAUCCAGGCUGCACAGCUACUGAGAAGAGGCACAAAGAAAAGAACAACCAAAAUGGUUGUUGUUUUUUUGUUUGUUUGUUUGUUUUAAAAUUUUAUUUAGUUCUCUUGGACCAGAGGAGGUUCUAUCACAGAAAUCCAUUGCGAGUUUCUGGGCUGAGAACAAAAUGGAUCUAUUAACUAUGUGGGAUGAGCAGGAAUUGGUUAUUUCUUCUCUACACUGCAGAGCAGCAUAUUUCUAUUUAAAAUGUCGUAUUUUUCUAAUUUGAGUUAAAAAAAAAAAAAAAAAAGCCUUUGAAAUUUGGAUGGGAGAUGAGUUGUUGUGUUAUAUUUAGAUCUAACAUUCAGGAAACUCAUCUCAAAGUUCUGGCUUAAUUAGAGUCCAGUUAUAUGGUCCAAAGCAAUUUAGAAACUACAGAUAGGGAUUUGCUGAGAGACACCAGCCUAGAGAGUACUGAAUACUGCACUUGCUGCAUACUAGCAUUUAUGAAACCUACUGUUGUCUAAAUUAUCUUUCCUUUCAGUUGACUUGGGUUUCAUCCAUAGCACUACUAUUUAGUGGCAACUAACCAUUCAAAUUCCACUAGCACUAAACAAUGAAUGACUAUCCUUUGGUGUUGGCAUAUCAUUUAGUUCAGCCUUGUAAGUAAAUUCCAACAUACUACGGGUGUUUGGAACCAAGUAGUUUUCUUCUUUGUAGUCUUGAUUUUUGGCAAGGAUGGGACUAGAAGUGGGGAACAACAUGUCUUUUGUGAUUAGCAAUGACUUAACGAAGAAGAAUAAUUUCUAGCAGGAGGAUUUUGGAAAUGACAGAAGACUGUGCUUGUGCAUGGAUUGAAUGCUGACUUGCAAUUACAGCAAAUCAUUCUCACAGCAGGGAGUUGGUUUUGUUUAGGAGACCUUUUCUUUGAUUAGCCAGCAUGUAAAUGAAAUGUAGUAACAGUCAGAAAAAGGGAGACUUGGGGCACGGAGGAGAGAGAUAUGAUAGAGAAAAGCAGCUGUAAGCAGAACAAUCAAGCUUCACUGAAGGAAUGAUCCUUAGGAAACUAGAAACUUCUGGUCUCACUUAAGAUUUCAAAACAGGAGAAGCAAAAACUGAAUCAGUAUGCAGAACUAACCACUGAAAAUGAAGAUGGAUGAAAAAACCAACAGAUUAUUGUUACCAGGAAUAAUACCGAUGUUGUGGAAAAGGUUGA